ACUUAUCCUCCUAUACUUCGGUUCUGUAUGUGUUAACCCCACUCUAAAAGUAAAAGAGAAAUAAUCAUCUUUUCCAAAGUGGCUGGUUAAAGUAAUACAUUAAACUGCCUUAAUUUAAAAAAAAAACAUACAUUUGAGAAACUUUCGUUACUUUACUUCUUGUGUGCUAGGGAGAAUGAAUGGACAAGUAGUAGGUUAAUAUUAAUGGCAAUCUUAGACUAUCUAAUCAUACUUGGUCCAGCAGCUUUGUGUGUAUGAAUAUGAUUUUGUAGUUGGUGGUUGAGAUGUUAUUUUGUAAAUUUAAGUUAUGGUCAACUCUGUGCUAGUAAAAUUGUUUUUUUUUUUUUUAAAGACAAAAGAGAAUGAAAUCUUUGAAUAUUCUGGAAUGUUAUUACUAUGACUUCAGAGGACUCUGCCACGUUAACAAAUUCUAAUAUACUUUAGACAGUGGAAUGAAUCCUUUGAUUAUCAUAGUUUGGAGUGUAGGUACAGUAGCCCCAGGAACCAUGCUAGGGGUUCAGGGAAGAAACAUAGACUGACUAGCUAACCUUGCCUGCUGAUGUCACAUAAAGUGAUAAGAAGUAUUGUGGACCCCUGCUAAGUGCUUUUGGGACUUCAAAGCCCAUUCAUCUAAAGAUGUGGCCAUUACCAUUUUGGCUUCCUCACUGUGCCUUGGAUGGCCCUGUACUUUUCAAGAGGAGAGCCUUGCUGGGUUGGGGCCAGCUAAAACGUUAUUCCUUGGAGUGCAGUGUCCCAGAAAAUCUGCCCUUCCUGGCCUGUGCUCUGUGAUUAUAGUCCCAACCAGGAGUGAACCUUGUUCCUAUUGGAUGAAUCAGACACAGAGUUAUGAGAUUCUUUUGCUCAAGUCACCCACAAAGAAGGCUUGGAAGUUCAUGUUCCCUAGAGAGGUGCCAAUUCUGCUAAAGAAGAUUAAGUGCCCAUAUCACACAUGCCAUAAUCCUGCAGCCAACAUCAACAAAGAGCUCAAAUCUAGCCUGGCCCUAAUCUAGGGAGCUACCACAGUGGGCUGUCAGCCCUGCCUGGGGCCCCUUUCAUUGCCAUGUCGUGUACCAGCCGAGAUGUUCAUUCAGAAAUGAGUAAGAAUGUUAGAGAACCAUCCUAUUGCAUCCUGGAAUAUUUGGUUAACAGUUUGAACCCUUUUUAUGGCUUUGAAAUAAUUAUUUCUGAAUUGGGCACAGAGGCAUUUGAUUCCUAUUUUAUUUCACUUGUUUGCAUCUGAGAAGAUGUUUAAAGGCUCUUGGCUUACCCGUGAAGUUGAUUUUCAGCAAGUAAUCCUUGUACAACUUCUUCCCAUCCAGGAUCUUCAUAGCAUCACAAAGCUUGGUAGUGUUGGGACAGAGGGUGCGCUGCAUUUUGUGCAAAGCGUGGGCCAUGGCAUACACCGCGUUCACCACAAACAUGAUCUUGGACUCUUGCUCGUAGUUGCUGCUGUCGAUGGCCAGGUGCUUGUCGCAGACGCGCCUGUGGUUGCGUUUGUUCUGGAGGCUGCACUGAAACUUUUGCUCCCAGAAGUCCCGGAACCAGGGGUUGCGGUGGUUGUUGUAGGGGUUGAGGCUCUGGAAGUAGCGGUCGAACUGGCGGACAGGCUGGGAGGCCAGCUCCAGGGUGAUGGCGCCGUAGGCCACAUGCUCGCUGCCCUUGAUGAUGCUCUCCUGCGCGCCCCAGCCGUCGCUGGCCACCCAGGUGAAGGAGGCAUUGGCGCGGCUGGCGGCUGCAAUGAGCUCCCGCGAGUCGUCGCUGCGCAUGAAGAGGACCACGACGCGCGCGUUGGGCUUCUGCAACAGUUCUCGGAUCACGCUGUCGUAGGACUUGCGGAUGUUGGAGCGGCCCACCUUCUCCGCCGUAGCGAUGCAGAUGUUGCGCAGGCGGGCUUCCUGCUCGAAGGCCUCGAUCCCUGUCUCCCCGUAAUCACCCUCGGAGGCUACUGUGGACACGUAGGUCCAGUUGAAGAAGCGCAAGAUCUCAGCCAUGGCUUUGGCCUGGUAGAAGUCGGGGGGCACGGUCCUGGCAAAGUAAUCAUAGCGCGACUUAUCACUGAGUUUGGCGCUGGUGGAUGCGUAGCUGAUCUGAGGGAUCUGGAAGAGCCGCAGCAGGACUAGGAGACUCUGGACAAAAUGGCCUAUACUGACUUAUUUAGGCAUAGGAAUAUUGCUUCACUCAGCCUGACUGAAAUGGCAGGUGUCACCAAACAGGUACUGUCAUUACUUCUAGAAUGAGUGCCUGGCUUCCACUGGAUUUAUGUACCACUAUGGAAGGCUUGGUGAUAGGAGCCCUGUCUAUGCAUAGCUUGACUUUGUUAAGAGGUUUCUGGCUAGCACUGGAGAGGCCAUCUCUUCUUGAUACAAUGAUUUUCUCAUCUUCAAGUUAUAUUAAUCAGGACCUGAACCCCUCAGGGAGACAGAGAAUGAAAGGACCUAAAAAAUAUCUGGACAUUAUUUUCUGGCAGCGAAGAAUCACAGUGAAACAAUCCUAAACUGCUGAAAUUUCCUCUCCCAUAGGGGUAGGAGUAAUGAGAAACUGCUCAAAAAAAAAACAAAAAAGUUCUUGUUUUUCAAUGAUAGGCUUCAUGUCUAACUCUCCAGGAUGUACGAGAAUAAUUUACAAUGAAGGCAGGCUUUGCAAGAGAACGAACUAGCCAUAGAAUAACAGCAAUGUGGGAAAGAUUCUCUGCAUUGGAAAGGGGCACAAUGAGCUGUAACUUUGGGGAAGGCUGUGGGCUAGAAUAAAACAGCAACUAUUGCCAACAUUUUAAGAAUAAUUUUAUGUUCCUCUGUGUGUGUGUGUUUAAUGAGGAGACCACAACUGACUCUAGAAAAAGGAGGCACAUUUGGUGAGUUGAAACGUGAAAUUGGAACAUAGUAAGUAUUAUCUCAAUUGUAUCACCUAUAUUGAAUAGCAUGGGGUGAUAAUAUAGUCAAACUUACGAUAUUCAGAGUUACAUUAGAAACACAUGUAAUACAAAUGAAUCAUGGAGUGAAGUAUUGAAGUAAUUUUAUCACAGUGAGCUGCUCCUUUUAAAAUUAGUUUCUUUAGAUUAAAAGGGUUAAAAUGCUUAAAAGUAAACACCAUGGGAGGCAAUAGAUUAUAAGUCUCUCUCCUUUCUCUUUCUCAUCCACCUCAGCCUUAUUUGUAAAGAAGAAUGUUAGUUUGGUUUAUUCAUUUAAAAAAUGUGUUUAUUCUGUUGUAAAACCAAGUACCAAUGUACUGGGUAUGUACAUACACACACACACACACACAAACAUAUUUUGCUCUUUUGAUAGUCACAAUAACUUUUUAUGGUGGAUAUUAUUAUCUCUAUUUUAGAUAUGCAAAAACAGUUCUGCUAGGUGAAGAAACUUGUUCAUAGCCAUAUGGUUAGAAUGUGUGGGUGAAAUCAAGGUGUAAAACCAGGUGUUUUGACUUCAAGGACUAUGGCUAUCCCCUCACAGCUUCCUCUCUACCUUCUACUGUGUGACUAUAAACCUGAGGCUUCAAACACAGAAAGGCAUCCAGGUAGAAAGAACAAGAGGAACAGAAGCAAUAUUAUGGUAUACACCAUAGACUGCCUAGUUGCUGUUAGCAGGAACUUUCCUUUUAACAUAAAUUUAAAACUAGGGUUGGGGAAUAUCCAGGUAGUUGUUAACUGGGUUCCUGUCUCAUUUGUCUAAAAGCUUGGUUCUGGAAUAUUCUUGACUUACUUUACUGGCCAUAUGGUUUCUCUGAGAAAGCAUAAAGAAAUAAAGGAACUCCUACACUGGACAUCAUUUUGAAUGAUAAAAGAAAAAUUGUUUUAGAAUGGAGAAGUAAUGUAAAAUUUUGGAAGAAAGUUACCCAAUUAUGUUAUUAUUAGAUAGAGUGGAGGAAGGAAAAACAGGAUGUAGUUAUAUAUGCUUUGGAAAAAAAUACUUUAAAAGAGAUAUGCUUCACAUAAAUUAAGACUCUAAAAUGGAAUACAGGAGGACUAUAAAAAUAAUUCAUACAAUACAGAAUAGUCUCAACAAGAAAGAGAAGAUGAAAACUCUAAAGAAUCCACUGGGUGCUAGGCUGCAUUUGGGGGAUUUUGGUGUUAGAAGAACCAGCAACACAGAAUGGGUGCUGUCUGUAUGUAUGUUGGGGGCGUCCCCAUAUACAACAUAGAAGAUUGACAUAAGCCUGUAAAAAUAAGGGACGCUAAAGCGCAGAAUGUGAAAAUGCAUCAAAGUGAUUUUUGUCAUUGCUAUUGUUUUGAUUUGAAAUUAUGUUUCAGGAGAAGAUGUGGCAGGAAGAUACAGAAUCAUCAAAUGGGAAAGUUGGUUCUAUAUGAAUAAAAGAAAGAUGCUGCUCCAUCCCUCUUACUUUCUCAUUCUCUCCAUUGAGAAUGGUUUCUAACAUGGAAAUGGCAGUACAAAUAAUAUAAAAAGGUUAUCACACUCAAAAGUAGGAGAGAAUACAAAAAAAAAAAACCACCCCAUAAUCAGAUGAAUGGAGUUUGUCCCCAGUAAUGAAUUCUGGAAGAAAUUGCAGAUUACAUUAUGAAAUCACUAUCAAUAAUUCUUGAAAAACACACAAUGGAGGACUCCCACAGGGUGAAAGGGACAGGGUGAAAGGGAAGGAGGAAGGACAAAUUCUGGAUAUAUAAAUCAAGAAGAAAUAUAAAUGAAUAAGCAUGAUGUGCUUUGGUAAUCUUCUAGAACAAAGUUUGCUAACAGAGAGCAUGGAAACACUUAGAACUGAACGAGGAAAGUACUAGGAAUCAGCAUGGGUUUAAUAAGAGUGAAUUUUACCAGGGGGCCAUCUUUUCAACAUUAUAUAAGGAAGAGUUGCAGCCUGGAGGACCAUGACUUUAAUAAGUUAUUGGUGACAUUGCUUGGACUCUUGAGGAAAAGAGAAAGUGAUAGGAGUUGGAUAAUACAGUUAAACGUACUCAAAGACAGCAGCUUGGAAGAAAGUCUUAUAUUUAUUCCAAGUCUUUAUAUAAGUCUUAUAUAAAGUCUUAUAUUUCUAUAUUUAUAGUGGCCAAAUAAAAUUACAUUUGUAUUAAUGCCAUUGAAAAAAGCAUAAAUAAGCAAUAAGAUCUUUACAUUGUAGAGAUAGAAGAAACUGUGAAGAUGAUCUAAACCUUUUGUUUUAUAGGUGAGAAAACAAUCUCACAGGGUGAAGUGACUUUUCAAAAUUUAGACAACUAAUAGGCAGAAAGCCUAAGAUUAGAGCUCAGUCUCUUGAUUUUCUCAAAGGACUAGUUUCCCUCUCAGGAAACAAGGUGAUAUUAUAUAGGAAGAGAUGUAAAUUCCUGAGUUUAAGUUAAAAUUACACAGGUGAAGAAAGAAGAAAAAACUAGAAAAAAUGAAAUUAUAAAUGCAAAAUUCAAUAUUGCAGUUCAGCAAGUGCCAGAAAUCUAAGGGUGGCUAAAGUCAAAGACGGAUUAUUAAGUGGUUUAUCCUGUUUAGAUUCCAAUUCAGAAUUCCUCAGAAGUGAACAAAGAAGAGCUAUUUCAGUUUUCCUAUUCUCUAAGUUACUGUUUUCAGACUACCUUUUUUUUUGGGUAAGGCUUUUUUGGGGAAGCCUUUUAAAGAUCCCUAGUAUUUUCAGUAGUCCUAAUAUUUUUGUGCCAGCUACUGUUCUAAUUGUUGCAGAUGUGUUUUCUCAUUUAAUCCUCAGGGCAUUCUUAUGAUGUAGAUACUACCAUUAUCCCAUUUUAUAGCUUGAGAAACUAAGGUAAAGAGUGCAUAGAGAUCUUACUGAGGAACCCAUAAGUGGUAGGAAUUCUGGGACCACUCACUGUACUCACUUUUGUCAUAUUUAUCCAGUCCAUUCUGCAAUCCAAGCUCGUAAUGGAUUCCUCUCACUAUAAUGAUGCAAUGAUAUAUUUCAAGGUAUAAUGUUUGUCUGUUUUUUUGUUCUGAAGCCAUAAACUCCUUUAUUUGAGGAUCAUGACCAAUCAUCCCUUGCUAUCAAAAGUAUGCUUUUCAUUUGUCAGUCUGUGCUUUGUGGUGACUCCAUAAACAUUCGUUUACUGACUGGCCAUCAACAGAGAUAACAAUGAUAGUCUAAGAGUCUACUGGGAAAUUUCCACGGGGGCAAUGAAAGCUUCAAGCUAUAAAUAUCAGAGUCAGAUUUGGCUUUCUGAUUUAUGUGAGAAACACAAUGGCCUUAUAGCAGAACCCAUUAGUUCCUAGGGCCUGAGAGGCGGCAUGCAAGUAAGUUAUGUUUAGCAGAAUCUCUUUCCAUGUGUAGCAUGUACUGUCAUUUUAUUUUCAAUGUUCAGAUAUUAUGCGGUACCCAUUUUCUUGGUGUUUUGAAUUUAUCCAGGACUUAGGUGUUGCAAUGUUUUCAUUGCAGGUUAUCAAGUCACAGAUGUGAUUAAUUUUGCUCAAGAAGAAAUGCUGGACUUGGCCAGAUAUGAUUAUGUUUGCCAGCAGAUGCAAUGUUAUAAAAUUGGUAUUUUUUAAUUAUACUUUAAGUUUUAGGGUACAUUUGCACAAUGUGCAAGUUUGUUACAUAUGCAUACAGGGAUCUAGAACUAGAAAUACCAUUUGACCCAGCCAUCCCAUUACUGGUAUAUACCCAAAGAAUUACACAUCAUGCUGCUAUAAAGACACAUGCACACGUAUGUUUAUUGCGGCACUAUUCACAAUAGCAAAGACUUGGAACCAACCCAAAUGUCCAACAAUGAUAGACUGGAUUAAGAAAAUGUGACACAUAUACACCACGGAAUACUAUGCAGCCAUAAAAAAUGAUGAGUUCAUGUCCUUUGUAGGGACUUGGAUGAAGCUGGAAACCAUCAUUCUCAGCAAACUAUUGCAAGGACAAAAAAAAUUAGUAUUUGUGUCUUUUCCCCAUUGUUGUAGUUAUAAGCUGGUGUAAUUUAGAAUGGGCUUUACUUGCAGUAGUUGUCUAACAAACCAUUGCUAAAUGUUAUUAAAUAUCUGCCACCAUUUUCCCAAUAUAUUUUUUUCUUCCAAAUAAACUCAACUUUAUGGAGAAUCUCUGACUUACUGUGAUGUUCCUUCUGUCUAGAAUGACCUUUACCACUUGUCUGCUCAGCUAAUCCAUUCAAGGGCUUCUUCUCUAAGGAACCGUUCUAAUGCCUGACUUCAGAAUGACUUGUGUGCCCAUUCUCUGAGCCUCUUUCAUUCCCUCAUGUGUUUCUCUCAUGGUACUAAUGAAAAUAUAUGGUGAUUUCUAGAUUAUUCACUAAGUUCUCCACUGGAGUGAGAACUCUCGUUAAUCUCUGAAUUCUCAAUGCCUCACAGAGUAUAGAGGUGCUCUAUAAUAUUUGUUAAAUGGAUUGAUGAGGGAAUUGAUAUUUUGCUGCUCUACCAUGUAACCUUUUCUAAUUAUAAUGAUGGGUUUGUGUGUGUGUGUGUGUGCGCACGUGUGCACAUGCACACACGACGGGGAAGCUGACCACCAGCAGGCAAUAUGAAGCCACUCUGAAAUAUGACUGAUAAACAAUUUUAUUGUGCAAUGUGGAUCUUUAACUAGUCAUAUUCAUUUUUUUAUUAAAACGAGAUGACACAUAAGACAAGGAAUUGAUUUAGACCUUCAGGAAUCAACUCACACCACUUGCUCCCUUAUUCUUGCUUUAGGAAUGUUUAAAACUUUAUUUUUUUUCACAAUCAAUAGCCAAUUGUGGAAUGAUGCUACAGUAGGCAUCCAAGCCAUACUCAUUCACAGAUGGGAAUUUUUAGUUCAAUACUAAUUUAUUUGGAAGUUUUAUUUCUCAUGAUAUUUUCUAACAAGGCAUAGAGCCUUCUUUUUAGGAUCCCAGGUGCCAUGCUUUAUUUCAAUGAUGAGUGUGUGUGUGUAUCCAAAUUUUGCUUUUGUGUAAGAAUACCAGUCAUACUGAAUUAGGAACCUACCCUACUUCAGUAUGACCUCAUCCUAACCUAAGUACAUAAGCAAUGACACCAUUUUUCAAUCAAGUCACAUUCUAAGGUACUGGGGGUUGGAACUUCCAAUAUUAUGUUGAAUAUAAACUUUCAGUCUUUUAGCACUGAGUAUGACAUUAGCUGUAUAUUUUUAGUAUACGGCUUUUUAUUACACUGACAUAGUUUUCUUCUAUUUCUGUGUGUUGAUUUAUCACAUGUUGUGCAUUGCUUAUCAUGAAAGGUGCUGUGAUCAUGGGAGCAAAAGAAUAUGAGCUAUGAGAAAGAUCUCAGGCAGUUUACUCUAUUCUUUUCCUGUUGUGAAAAAAGAGAAUGUGAACUGGAAAAUAUCAGUCACUUGUGAGCCCCCACAUCAGUUCCUUAUUUACUAUUUCUACUCAGGAUAUACAUGAUGUAUCAAUUUCAAACAGAGCUUUGUGCCUUCUAUGCUGACACAAUGCCAAAUAUUUUUUUUUCAACACAAGACAAAAGGACUGUGGACAUGUAGAAUCUGGUAGAAACAAGUUUCCCACUAAAGUGAUUUUUUAGUGCUAUGAGAAUUAUUUUCAGAAGUUUUACAGUUAUUGGCUUCUGAAUUUGUGCUAAUACAUUAAAGGGAACAAUAAUAAAUAGUUUUAUGAGGAUCUAUACUUAGCUACAAAAAUUCCAGAUGACAAAGAGGCAUCAAAUGCCCACUUCCAAGAAGAAUGUUAUUUACAGAGCUGAACUAUAUACAUUUAAAAAAUAAACCAUUGCUACUGCCCUGUAAUCAGGAGACUUGAUAAUAACCUUCAUGUUUAUUCUCUGCUGUUCACCUAUCUUUUUGGGGCUGUUUUCUAAGAAUAAGUCUACACCUUUAAUUGCUUUGUCACACAUGCAGUGCUGAAUGUUUUGUUUAGUUCUUUUAAUUAAAUGCUUAUAUAUGUGCCUGGAAGAGAACCAUUGAGUUGCUGCACUUUGAACCAUCUGUUACCUCAUAGCACAGGUUAUUACAUAAAAACAAGUUCUAGAAUUUGUGAUGUUUAGAGACCUCAGUGUCCCUCCUAUUCAGCUUGUUCAAGUUACAUUAUUAGCUGUACAAAAUCCCAGAUUGGCUUGUAUUUUAAACUGGAACUGGAGGUGGUAUAUAGUUGACAAAACUGCCUGAGAAAUUCAAGCUGUUCACAUCAUAUGAGUUAUCUGCCCAUAAAGGAGUCCAAUCAUAUUGUUAUUGCUAAAAGGAUUAGUAACUUUUUUUGUUUUGUUUUGUUUUGGCCACAUUACCUGUAGCACAUCUGGGAACAAUUUGCAUGAAAACAAUUGAUGCCCAUGUCCCAAGACCAGGAAUUAAUGUUGAUUUUAGAAAUCGUAUAAUGAAGUAUAGCAAAUACCAGUGUACGCAGUAUAAUAUGAAGAGGUCAACAACUCUUACAUGCCAUGGGCCCCAAAAACACUUGAGUCAAAGAUCCAUAUUGGUUAUCACCAUUCAACAGCAUGGCUCAGUACCAGUGAUUUCACAUGGACAUUCCAAACAAAGGACUCCCUAAUCAUAGUGGAAACCUUCAAAAAUUGCUCAAAGUCACCCUGCUUUCCAUCCCAAGUCUCUCUGAAAAUCAUUGCACUCAUCUCCUGUAGUUUGUAACCAGGAUUGUCACACACUUUUAUUUUCUUCAUUUGAAACUGAAGGACUUCUUAAAUAGUAAGGUUAUUCAUUUUGGCAUUUUCAUAACUCAUCAUUUAGGUUGAAGUGAUAUGCAGACCACAAAGGAUUCCUCGAAUCCUAUCAUUUCAGGAGACUGGUAUUAAAAGACAUGUCAUAUUUCUCACCAUCACGAUGCUAUUCCACAUUCAGAUAUCUAGCUUGUUCCCUUACUAACAAGGAACUAUCUCAGGAAUAACUUUCUUUCCAUCCAGAUUUAGCAGGUACUUACAAGACAAACAAGAAGGUAUUUUGCCCACUGAAUUAGUCUGCAUCUGCUCUUUGCUUCCCUUUUCCCCCAUGCAUUAGUUUUCAGGAGAAAUCACAGAAGUGAAGUGGUUCAUGUUCCAGUUCCUAACAACAGGAUCAAAAAGUCUGUGUCAUAUCUGGUGUCAAGAGUGUUUGUGUUUGCCAGCAACACCUGCGAAAGCAUGACUUCCAGGGUGACUUGACAUCAAAAGACCUGUUAGAAACACAUCGUUUAGUACCUCAGAUAUUGAUUUUUGACAAUGUCUCUUGAAGUUUUAACAGAGCCACAAGUUGAGCUAAUCUAUAUUUUUCUGUGGUCCCUGAAGUCACUUGUAUAACAAUAAUAUGAGAAAUAUGGCCUUAUCAAUAACAAAAGGCAUGCCAAUCUUUGUCAGUUGUUAACCAAAGGACAAAAGCUGUUGGGUAUGCUUGGGGAUAGCUGAGGGCUAUAGCCUAAUAUUUCCUUAAAUGAUUAUCAUUUACUUUUGAGGUCUUGGGGCAAUAAUUUAGGGCAAAGGUAUAUUCACCAUAUUGUAGCAAACAGAAUUGUGUUAUUCAUUGUUUUCUUGUUAACUACUCUUUACUUCAACAGAGCUGUCAGACACAAAAGAAGCAAAUGGUAUUGAAGCAAAAGAAGCAAACAGUGCACAGGGUUGGAAUCAGGCCAGCAUUGGAAUCUCAGCUCCUCUCACUAGCUGUGUGACCUUCGGCUAGUUAUUUUAACUCCUUAAGCUGCAAUUUCUUUAUCUGUCAAAAGAAAAGGAUAGUAAUCCAUGGUUUAUGAAGUCAUGUAAAGAUUAAAUGAAAACAUAUGAAGCACUUAACUCACUGAUGGGCAUGUAGUAAAUGCUCAAGAAGCAAUAGAGAGGGUGAUAAUAGCUAAUUUGUCAUCACUCAUUCAGCAAACUUUGACUGAUGUCGAUUAUACAAGGCACUAUUCUAAAAUCUAGUUUUGUUUUUUUUUUCCUGGAUGAGCAAUGUACCCCUACAGUCCUCCAGGAAGUCGUAAUUUGAUGGGAGACAAAGAAACAUAGCCAAGGAUACAAUUUUAAGGUCACCUUGAAUCCUUCCUGGAAAAAAGCAGGUCAUAAAUAAUAAUGGUUGUUGGAGAAAGGUCUCUAGGAAAGAUGAAGAACUUUUAAAUUCCUAGAAGCAUCUUAGAAAAGAUAACACAAAAACUUUAUUUAAUGUAAAAAUAAGAGCUGAGAGUCAGUUAAAUAAACAUUGUUAACAGUUGAAAUUUUCUGGAUUAUCUGCAUUUAUUGUUACUUUCCUUUACUUUUUAAUUUAAUUUUAGAUCAAGGAGUUACAUGUACAUAUAUGUUAUGUGGGUAUAUUGUCUGAUGUUACAUUCCUUUAAAUCUUGUAUAAAUAAUCUUUCUUAAAACUACUUUGUAAACUUAGGUAAUAUAGACUUAAUGCACAUGUAUAUUUUUAUUUAGAUGGAAUUUACUUUUUUAUUGAGAAAUUCAGAACAAAUUUUAGAUCAUUUGUUCAACCACAUCUGUUUUCCUUAUUGGAAAAGCUUAAUUGCCUGGUUUGCAUUCUAUGAGGCCUCAUUUGUGAACCUUAUGGUAUCUACCGAAAUUGGAGGCACUGUGCCUGGGAAAAAAACUACUAGUCCUUUGUGUAAACACACUGACAAUUCAACCCUAUUAAGUGAUGGCAAAUCUGUCAAGAUGCUUUGCCAUUCUGACCACUUGGCAAGGAAAUCUGGUCUAUGUUUAAAAUAUAAUUUUUGAAGGUGUUGCUUCUAUUGAAUUCUCCCCUGUAUUGCAGUUCGCUUUAUUGGAAUGUGAAGCCAAAGUGUUGGCAAGAAUCAAAACUUUGUUACUAGUAACAAAGGGAUUUCCACAAUAUACCAGGUGGUGUUGUCAAAAAUAGUCACACUACACUUUUAGUGUUCAAAGUCCCACUGAUAAACCUCCUGGAGGAUCGUUUGUUUGGAGUUUAACUGCAGGUGUUUUUGGAACACUAUUCUUAAAUUCCCAAAGUCUGCUAAUUAGAAAGGUAAUCUGUGAAUUUUCAACUGCAUUUUCCAUAGAUCAGUAGAAGCACCUCUACUACAUUAAAUCCAUGGACCUUCAUUAUUAUAAACUGCUAACCGCUGCUCUUUCCAUAUUGAAAUACUGAAAUUGUACAUAUCAAUCCAUGAAAAAGGCACAUAUUUAAUGGUAAUUUGGAAAGAGAACUUUGUGUCAUUAAGGCAAAAUAUCAUAGGUUUAAUCAGAAGUGUCAGCAGUCCUAUUUCAAUUCAUUUACCUAUUAAUCUAUAAUCAUAGCAUAAAACACUGCUGCUAUCUUAGGAAUGUCUGUAUUCUUUGCUUUUUAUCGCGUGACCUCCAUCAUAGACACCUGACCUGCAGUGUAAGCCUGGACCAUCCUAUUGCCUUGUGAACAGUGGUCCUGACGGCAACUUCUUAUCUUUCGGUAGAGUAGUUUCCAAAUAAAUACAUGACAGAAGGGGAAUUAAUUAAGAAACAAAUUAACCCCAAUGCAAAGGAAAAAAAUAGUAGCAUAUCAGAUAAUUACUUCUGAUGAGAAAUUUCUACAAUGAAGCAAUGCUAACAAAAGCAUUUUUAAUUGCUGUUGCUGGUGCCUCCCUCCCUGUGAUGAAGUCCUUGAAUGGCAUUGCCCUUUCUUGGAGGAGUUGAAGCAGGAGCAAUGGAAGGAGGUUUCAAAACAAUCAGUGUUGUGAGAUUGCUUUAGAAUGAAAAGUCUGGGAAGGAAAUAAAUGAAAAGAUUCUGUCUGAGAUAACUUUUGAGUCAGAUUUUUCUGCAGCUUAGACUAUGUGAGGGGGUGGUUGGUGUGGGAGGCAAGCUAUCUGGAUUCUCAUGUUGAUUCUGCUACUUGUAAAGUGAUAAAAACUUGAACUUGGAACUUGACCUCUGUGAGUCUCAAUUCCUCUUGAAACUGUUCCUUUUGGGCUGGAGAUGUUGAAAGUAAAAUAAAUAAAUAAAUAAAUAAAUAAAAGGUAAUGGAUAAUAAUAUCUACUAAAAUGUUGACUGCUAAGUAUACAAGGUACCAUUUUCUCACUUUUCAUGUAUUUUCUUAUUUAAUUCCCACAAUAACCCAAUGAGAGAGGUACUACUAAUAUCCCCAUAUUACUAGGUACACAUGUACAUAAAGACGGCAACAGUAGACACUGGGAACUAAUAGGGGGAGAAGGUAGGAAGGGGUUCAAGGGCUGAAAAGCUACCCACUGGAUACUAUGUUCAUUAUCUGGGUGCCAGGAUCAUUUGUACCCCAAACCUCAGCAACACACAAUAUACCUAUGUAACAAACCUACAUAUUUGGCCCUUGAAUCAAAAAUAAACGUUGAAAUCGUAAAAAAAAAACUCAGUUUUAGACAUGAGUAAAGAGACAAUGCAGGGUUAAGUGAAUCCUAGUCAGUCUGCACAGAGUUUUAAUCACUGUGUUGAAAUUUUUCAAGAAAGGCAUACUAAAAAUGUACAAUUGUAACAUAUCCAUGCUAUAAUCAUUGUAUUUGCAGUACUAAACUCCCUAAAUGCAACUAUCAUUUUUACUAUUCUAGUGAUAGAGAUACUGGUGAUAGAGUAGUGAAUGGAUUUCUAAUCCUGUCACUCUGCUUUUCUUGAGGGUAGGAUGAUGUUCUCUUUGCCUUUGCAUUAGCUACAAGCACAGCAUCUGGCAUAAAAAUAUUCCCUGCAUAUUCUUCCCGUGGAGAGACUGCAGACAGCUAGAUAAGAGGACAGGCUCUAACAUUCAAAAUGGCCCUGACUGUCUAGUUGUGUUGAGCCUUGGAUAGUCUUCUCUGGAAUAGUUGGUCUAAGUACAAUUGGAAUGGAACCCCUAGAGCUGCUCUCAAAUCAAAGCAUCUGUGGCACAUGUGUAAAGAAUGGGAGUGAGGACGAUGGGGGCAAUUUUGUCCCACAUGCUCGCCUUGCAACAUUGUCUGUCUUUUAUAUCUAAACAAGUCUUCCAUUGCAGAGAAAUGCUUAUUUCUCAUUUAUGAGCAUCCAGACUGAUCUAGAAUAGGUGGGUGAUGGUUGUGACCCUUAAUCCAAGAUUCCCAUAAAGAUUUUGAGCCUUCUGGAAGUAUAGCAGGUUAACAUCUUUCAGUUCUUAUCAACUGUACAUAGGUAAUCAAUUCUUUCAAUUCAUUCAACAAAGACUUACUCUCUACCUGGUUGAGACACUAUUCUAGGUAUCAGUAAUAUAAUAUAAAGACAAAAAAUGUGGUUCUUAAACUCAAGUGGCUUAUAGUUCAUGGAAGAAUAAAUAUGCAAAUGAACAGUUAUAUUUACUUAGUAAUGGAGGGGCAUGUACAUGAAGUGAGUACUUGGGAAAGGGUUCUCACAGGGAUAGGACUGAAGGAAAGUAGGAUUUGCAAGGCAUACAGACAGCUGAAGAACACUGCAUUCUAGGUGGAUGAAACACUGUGUUCCCUCAUAUAUGAAAGACUGUGCAGACAUCUUUCUGUAGACUAUGAGAAAGCAACUUUCCAGGAAGGCUUCGAAGGCAGGCUUUCUGUUUAUGUAUAUCUAGACGUCUUUCCCCUGUUCAAUUCUAUUCCUGUCUGCUAAUUCUAUUCUUCUUUCUGAUCUCCCUGUACUUAUGUUGCCAAUUGAUACUCAGAUUCUACACUUGGACUUGUUUUAUGUAUGGUCUUGAUAUUUCAAUUUGCUUCUAUAUCCCUCAGAAGCUUGUAAGAUAUCUACUAUUUUAAAAUUGUAUUUUAUGUUCCCUCUACUCCAUGUCAAGACUACAUGAUAAUGUUCUAUAGAAUAAUGUUCUAUAGAAUAAUGUUCUAUGGAAUACUGUUCUUGCUGUGCCUACUGUAUACAUGCUUAAUAAAUGCUUAUUUUCUGAUAAAAA
Long non-coding RNA from Homo sapiens (human), 14615 nucleotides. RefSeq annotates it as GRM3 antisense RNA 1. The transcript has 5 exons. The record is from RefSeq and is a predicted model, not a curated record. NCBI's taxonomy places the organism in Eukaryota, Metazoa, Chordata, Mammalia, Primates, Hominidae.